GAGCUUGAGCAAAGAGCGGGAUGCGGCACGGGUGGCAUUUGAGGAGGCUCUUCGAGAAAGCUAUCGCACAGCAUUACAAUUUCAACAUGUAGCUGUAAGUGAUAUUUCUUCCCAUUUCCACAGUAUAUUUUUAGGGCAGUUGAAUUGUGGAUACAUACCACAGUUGUCGUGUUGUAAUUUGAAUCGCAGAUAUAUUUCCAUUCUAUGUUUGAGUUGCAUGAAUACUUUCGGAUCAGAAAGAGCGAGCUGCAAAGCGACAGUCACCUGCUCCUGCCACAAGCCUUGCCCCUGUCCAAUGGAUAGAGAGGGACAGAAGAGGCAACAUAAUUCACCAGAGACCUGGACUAAGAAGGCCUCAAGCCAUGUUUCCAGUACCAGUACCCAUCCUCCUGCAGUACCAUGCUCCUGCACCUAUCCCCACAAGAUUCAGACUCCCUGAUGCAGGACCUACAGGAGCUGAUGGGGAGUUUCAUGGGGCCAGAUUGUCACGUAACCCCAAAGGUGACUUGGGCAGAGAGGCAGACAAAAGUUGGGGGAAAGGAUUGAGGCAAUGGUGGACAGCAUGCUCUCUGCUGAAGAAUGUCAAAAGACUGAAAGAGACAACCAGCCUCCUUGAAGAAAAGCGGGCAGAGCUGGACAUCAACCACGCUGUGCUUCAGGAGUGGGUUGCUGAGGUCCAGCAGUGGCCUGAAGGUAUGUUAGGUUCUGAACAAAUAGAUCAAAAGCUA
Long non-coding RNA from Oncorhynchus kisutch (coho salmon), 728 nucleotides. RefSeq lists it as uncharacterized. The record is from RefSeq and is a predicted model, not a curated record. Lineage: Eukaryota; Metazoa; Chordata; Actinopteri; Salmoniformes; Salmonidae. The transcript is spliced from 4 exons.